Molecule: ribosomal RNA, 406 nt
Filed under: uncultured bacterium
Lineage: Bacteria
Description: partial 16S ribosomal RNA
Rfam family: Bacterial small subunit ribosomal RNA
Source: RNAcentral
AUUGAACGCUGGCGGCAGGCCUAACACAUGCAAGUCGAGCGAGCGGCGGACGGGUGAGUAAUGUCUGGGGAUCUGCCCGAUCGAGGGGGAUAACUACUGGAAACGGUGGCUAAUACCGCCUACUAUCGGAUGACCCCAUAUGGGAUUAGCUAGUAGGUGGGGUAAAGGCUCACCUAGGCGACGAUCCCUAGCUGGUCUGAGAGGAUGAUCAGCCAAACUGGAACUGAGACACGGCCCAGAAUCCUACGGGAGGCAGCAGUGGGGAAUAUUGCACAAUGGGCGCAAGCCUGAUGCAGCCAUGCCGCGUGUAUGAAGAAGGCCUUAGGGUUGUAAAGUACUUUCAGCGAGGAGGCGUUACCCGCAGAAGAAGCACCGGCUAACUCCGUGCCAGCAGCCGCGGUAAUAC